GCGGAGGUUCAGUGGAGUGAAGUGGUGACGAUUGUUCGACUCCUUAUCUGUUAUCUGUUUAGUGUUAGGCCUAUGUGUUCCAUGCGGCAAGUUGGAAGUGGUUGUGCAUUUGGGCAAGUUGUAACUUGGUGGUGGGCGGGGACGAAUCUCUGCUGAGGGUUUCAUGCGAUCAAGCCAACGAAGGAUCCAGUUUCCAAGAUUCCUCCCAACUUCUA
RNAcentral lists this unclassified non-coding RNA (215 nucleotides) under Hevea brasiliensis (rubber tree). Lineage: Eukaryota; Viridiplantae; Streptophyta; Magnoliopsida; Malpighiales; Euphorbiaceae. The record is from RNAcentral.